Molecule: ribosomal RNA, 367 nt
Filed under: Malassezia globosa
Lineage: Eukaryota; Fungi; Basidiomycota; Malasseziomycetes; Malasseziales; Malasseziaceae
Description: partial large subunit ribosomal RNA
Rfam family: Eukaryotic large subunit ribosomal RNA
Source: RNAcentral
GGCACCUCCGGUGUCCGCGUUGUAAUCUCGAGACGUGUUUUCCGUUCUUGGUCUAUGGACAAGUCCCUUGGAAUAGGGCAUCGUACACGGUGAGAAUCCCGUACUUGCCAUGGAAGAACCGUGCUUUGCGAUACACGCUCUAAGAGUCGAGUUGUUUGGGAUUGCAGCUCAAAAUGGGUGGUAGACUCCAUCUAAAGCUAAAUAUCGGGGAGAGACCGAUAGCGAACAAGUACCGUGAGGGAAAGAUGAAAAGCACUUUGGAAAGAGAGUUAAAAGUACGUGAAAUUGUCGAAAGGGAAGCACUUGAAGUCAGCCAUGCUGCUUGAGACUCAGCCUGGCCUUUGGGCUUGGAGUAUUUCUCGGAGGC